AGAUCUGCUCUCUUCGCAAGAAGAGGGUUUCCAUACACACCGUGAACUGUGGCUUCGGCCAUCACAAACUGUUAGUAAUGAAUGUAAUAUCAUAACAAAAACAAAACUUUUAACAACGGAUCUCUUGGCUCUCGCAUCGAUGAAGAACGCAGCGAAAUGCGAUAAGUAAUGUGAAUUGCAGAAUUCAGUGAAUCAUCGAAUCUUUGAACGCACCUUGCGCCCUUUGGUAUUCCGAAGGGCAUGCCUGUUUGAGUGUCAUGAAACCUCACCCCACUUAGGUUUUUGCCUAAGCGGUGGUGUAUUGGGUGUUGCCUUGCUAAAGGCUCGCCUUAAAGACAUAAGCACCUUGGAUGUAAUACGUUUCAUCCUUCUGGGUGGCUGAUAACCCCACAUAUUCAUGAUCUGGCCUCAAAUCAGGUAGGGCUACCCGCUGAACUUAAGCAUAUCAAUAAGCGGAGGAAAAGAAACUAACUAGGAUUCCCUUAGUAACGGCGAGUGAACCGGGAUGAGCUCAAAUUUAAAAUCUGGCGUCUUUCAGGCGUCCGAGUUGUAAUCUAUAGAGGCGUUUUCCGCGCCGGACCGCGUCCAAGUCUCUUGGAAUAGAGUAUCAAAGAGGGUGACAAUCCCGUACUUGACGCGACAACCGGUGCUCUGUGAUACGUUCUCAAUGAGUCGAGUUGUUUGGGAAUGCAGCUCU
RNAcentral lists this ribosomal RNA (697 nucleotides) under Vishniacozyma victoriae. RNAcentral's name for it is "eukaryotic LSU rRNA". The stretch from base 404 to 697 matches the Rfam family "Eukaryotic large subunit ribosomal RNA", at positions 1 to 289 of the family's 3401-position model. The record is from RNAcentral. Lineage: Eukaryota; Fungi; Basidiomycota; Tremellomycetes; Tremellales; Bulleribasidiaceae.